CCGAGUUACAACUCCCAAACCCCUGUGAACAUACCACUUGUUGCCUCGGCGGAUCAGCCCGCUCCCGGUAAAACGGGACGGCCCGCCAGAGGACCCCUAAACUCUGUUUCUAUAUGUAACUUCUGAGUAAAACCAUAAAUAAAUCA
Molecule: unclassified non-coding RNA, 146 nt
Filed under: soil metagenome
Description: partial internal transcribed spacer 1
Source: RNAcentral